GACUCAAAAGAUGGUAAACUAUGCCUGGGCAGGGCAAAGCCAGAGGAAACUCUGGUGGAGGUGCAUAGUGAUCCUGACAUGCAAAUCGGUCAUCCAGCCUGGGUAUGGGGCAAAAGACUAAUCCAACUAUCUAGUAGCUGG
RNAcentral lists this non-coding RNA (141 nucleotides) under Loxodonta africana (African savanna elephant). RNAcentral describes it as "Eukaryotic large subunit ribosomal RNA". It matches the Rfam family "Eukaryotic large subunit ribosomal RNA", at positions 813 to 954 of the family's 3401-position model. Lineage: Eukaryota; Metazoa; Chordata; Mammalia; Proboscidea; Elephantidae. The record is from Rfam by way of RNAcentral.